Molecule: long non-coding RNA, 2040 nt
Organism: Sinocyclocheilus grahami
Lineage: Eukaryota; Metazoa; Chordata; Actinopteri; Cypriniformes; Cyprinidae
Exons: 2
Source: RefSeq, a predicted model, not a curated record
UUAAUGGGGAGUAAGGCCAAAUCUUUGGGGAAGGUCCAGGGUGCUGGGAGUGGGAUGGGGGACAGAUAAACCAAGCUGGGAACAAAUAAAAUAUAGGCAUAUAUCACCAAAAGCUGAGGAAACAUCAUCAUCAUCAGAGCGUACCUUCUGUGGAGAUAUGUUAUUGCAUCUUGAAUAAUUUUUGCCAUUCAAAACAAAAACUUUACCUUUUGGACUAAGUCUCUUUUUUGUUUACCUAAGAUUUCUCUUGGAAUACAUCCUGGAUACAGGAAACCAGAUGGUCAGAGAACUAGAUCUUAAGGAUGGAGAUGAAAAUAUGGUAAUUGACACCCAAUUCCAAACCUUUUAAAAAUGUCUGUAUAACACUGAUCCCCAGCACCUUUAAGAGAAAUAGAGAAAAGCUCAUUUAAGAUAGAACACAUUAUCAAGACAAUGUCCUUUUGAAAAAAUGUACCAUAAGACAUCAUCUACAGUGACUUCUGUACAUCAUUUCAGAUGAAAAGUCAUACACAAAACUAAAGCUGUUGAUUGUACUAUUCAAAGACUGACACUGAAUUCAAAUGCUCAUCCUUGCAGAGUUCUUGAAUCAUCGGAGUCCACACCUUUACAUUACUAGCUUCAGCUGUCUGGAAAACUUUCUCAAGGAGAUGAGCAAAACUGGCCAUUACAUUAUAUUGGAAAGUCAAGACAUGGGGACAUCAACAAGAGCCUUUCUUUUACCGCUGGAACACUUACCUCUCGACUUUGACCUGGGAGGCAGUCAUCAUGCCCUAUUAUACACUGCAUCAUGUUUUAAACUUGCCCUUUAUCAAUGAUGAUGUUACCGCCAUUCACUGUUACAGAUCUCAUGGUUCAAAGUACUGAGCUCUUGCCUUGUUACAUGGAAACAAUGUUUGGAAUACUCUUUUAUCCAAAACAACUUACAGUGCAUUCGAGGUAUCCCAUUAGUAAAAACCAACCGACAAACACGUAAACGUAUUUUGAGUGCCCUUACAUCGAAACCUUUAUUCAUCCCCUCUGAAACUGACAUUUAUUUAGUCUGAGUGUAAAAACUGAAAAAGUAGAAAACUGAAACUGUGUAAACUGUGUGACUGUCUAUAGUUAUAGCAUGUCAGAGAUCCAGACUGUGUGUGUAACCACUGAAAAAAGCAGCAGAAAUGCAACAUCACUAAUGUUUCGAUCUUAGCGCAGAACAAACUCAGCUUUGAGAUAAGUGAGUAGGUUAUGGGGAGUGAAAAAUAACCAUGUUUCUGUUGGUCAGAACCCUUCUCCACAAUGUCAACAGCUCUCAGUUUCAACAAAGAUGCUUUAGAGAACUAUAUUGGUUAGAUUUGCUCCUGAUUUCCAGUUUAGAUCAUCUAACAUGAAGACUACACUGCCCAAUGUAAUUUAGGGGCCAAAUUCAAACAUGUCCCUGACCAUUUCAACCUGGUUUAAAGGUCGUUGAAGACUGAACACCAACUUUCAUUAAUGGGCAUCUCACUGUGGACUGAGAGACUUGACAAUGGGAGUGAGGGUUUGAUGAUUGAGAGUGAAGGAAAUGAACGUAAUGGUCUCCUGAUCUCAAUGUACCAGAGAAAUACAGACACAUGAGAGAAGCACGUGAGGUUUUAGCUAUGCAUCUCUCAGAGCACCAAGUAAUUUGAGCUAAUCACGAUCCAACUAAGCAGUGUUCGAGAUUUCUUUGCUAGCAGCCAUUAAUGAAGAUUGAAAAAUCUUUUUUUUUUCGUCAAGUCCUUCGUCCUGUGUAACUUGUCAUUUAAUGUUUCAAACAGAUCUGGCAUGGCCAUACAAGAGAUGUGGGAAGAGGAGAAAGGCCUCUGUCCUUUUCAACAAAAGCGUCUUUGUGUUUAUAAUAAUCUGUGAGGUCUGAAGUCCAUUUUUGUCAUUCUUUCUUGUUCAUUUUUCCACACUGCAUUAGCAUAGCAUGUGUUUCAUGUGUUUAACAAUUCCUACAUUAUGCCAUCCAGAUGGUAGAACCUUGGAACGUUUGGUUCUAACCACGGUGCUGUAUACUUAAUAAAUAUGUGCUGACAUUAA